UAUGACAAAGAGUUCUCUAUAAAGGGAACAAGAAAGCUUUACAUGAAACCCUAAAACACUACUUGAUCUUAUCUGAGCAGCAAUUUUCUCUUCUUUAGGCAAAAAAUAGUCACCGGAACUGCUCUAUAAGUUUGCAGAGUUGCCGGAAAUUCUGCCCCAUAUUGGUUGGUAGUGUUUCCGUCAGCUCAUAUUGCAUCUUUUUGGGUUGACCGUUGCUUGUCUUAAAAGGGAUUAAGGGCUGCGAUGAAGACUGCCCACGGUCAGAGCUUCUUUUUAAGUUGCGUUGAUGGCUUCGUGGGCUUUCCCCAACCCAAAUCAAAUAUAAUUUUUUUUUUCAAUUUUUAGAACUUUUUCAAUUUCAAUUUAUUAGAAAUUUUCAAAAAUUUUUAAAUAUAUUUUUUGUAAAAAAGUUGAACUGGUUUUGAAGAUUGCACAAAUACUGAGGCUUUAUGUGUUUAAUUUGGUUGAUGUAUUGCCUAAUUUAUAAAUUGUGCAACAAUGAGUAAUGGGGAUCCGCUUUGCUGCCUAAACUCUAUAUAUGUUUUUGCUGCCUGUAAUGCCCCUACAUUCCCAUCUUCAAUACAGAAUUCAUUUGAUUUUUCUUUUGGGUUUAUAUAUAUAUAUAUAUUUGAACAUAUUUAGAAAUCUCAGAUACAUGUAUAAAAGUUUGUCUGUAUGUUGUGUUUGAUUUCUAUUGCAUUUUUGCAACAUGAUUAUGACUUAAGAUUUCAUAAGAAGCGAAAAUAUUUGUUUUUUGAGGGGCAUUAGGCAUUGUUUUUUUUUUUUUUUUUUAGAGUUGGCAGUGACAUUGCUUUGAUUUGGAUGUAACAAUCCCAUUGUUGAGUUGCAUUAUAAUCAUGUAUUCAAACUGGUUGUAGAUUUGUAAUGUGCAAUCAUUAUUGUAUAAAGUUUUAUCAUCCAUUGGUAAUGGGUUACAUGUAUGACCGAGGUUAUAACGGCUUAUUGAAAAAAAAAAAUUAUUGAAAAAAAAAAAUUGAUGUCGCAGUGUUACCAGUGCGCAUUACUAGUUAGCUGGUUCAAUUUUCUCCAAUAUGUCAUUGGCUGUGAUUUUUUAUGUUGAAAGUCUUGCUAAAACUACUGCAUUUAAAUGUUUUAAAUUGAUCUAACUGAGCAUGAACACUUCAUGAAUAUACACAUUUCAUGACCUAUAACUUCUUUCCCUCACAUGCAUAUGGAAUAGAUAGCUUGACCUAGGUUCAGUAAGUUCCUUGGCUUACUGAUGAGUAAUGACUACUUCGAGAAGCAGUUAUUUGAAAUAGUCUAAUGCCACAUUCACUACAUUGUGGGCUUGUAAUUCCCCUACAUUCCCAUGUUUAAUACAGAAUUGUUUAGAUUUUUUCCAAAAGUUUUAUGGUUACUUGGAAACUACUAGUUUGGUACUUCUGCAAUUUGUUAACAUUCCAUGCUCUCCUUGCACUUGUUAAUUUGGAAUGAUGAUAGGGAGCCAGCCACUGCAAUACACCAUAAGCAAAUGGUUGAUGUCUUUUGUGGGUUAGUUUCUCUUUGCACAAUUACAUCAUAACUGUUGUUGUGACCCAGAUGCUUGAGUGCCUGAUGUUGAGUCUCAGACAACUUGGUGUGAUGCCUGUAUUCUAUAAUGCCCAUUCAACACAAUCCAUGCUUCACAUUUGAGUAAUUUGCCAUAUGAGUACCAUUUGAUUUGAUUAUUUGACUGUGAUUGGAGUCCAGCCCAACUGGCACCUGUAAGUGAUAAAAAAAUUGGGCGAGCCCAACUGGCACCUGUAAGUGAUAAAAAAAUUGGGCGAGCCCAACUGGCACCUGCAGGUGAGUUGGUAAUUGUUAUAUUCCUUGAAGAAGCAAAUCAUAAUUAAUUAGCACUGAGCCAUUGACAUUUUCUAUUUUAUAAAAGAAUUAUGUAAUUUAAUUUUUAUUUUAAAAUGAGACAAUGUACCAGAUGCAAAAGUAUAGCAAGUACUUUUUACGUGGCUAAUUUGUUUUAAUUUUUUUGGGGGCAAUAUGAUUUUGAAUGAUGGCAUGUAAAUGUGGUAGCAAUGUGCAAUCCACCAAAAUCAUAUGCAAUUCAUUAUCUUCAAUUUUUACCCAACAAUUGCCCAUUAUCAGUUAUCUAAUUCAAUUUACUCGGAUAUGUCAUUUGGUUUCAAUCCUGCUUUGAAGUCUUGCUAAAACUACUGCAUUUAAAGUUUUUAAAUGUUUUAAAAUGAUUUAACUGAGCAUGCACACUUCAUGAAUAUACACAUUUCAUGAGCCAUUAGUUCCCUCCCUCACAUGCAUUUGGAACAUUUUGCUUGACCUAGGUUCAAUCAGUUCCUUGGCUUACUGAUGAGUAAUGACUACUUCGAGAAGAAGCUAUUUGAAAUAGUCUAAUGCCACAUUCACUACAUUGUGGGCUUGUAAUUCCCCU
This 2404-nucleotide long non-coding RNA is filed under the name Aquilegia coerulea. RNAcentral's name for it is "long non-coding RNA (ACOE_LNC001329)". Lineage: Eukaryota; Viridiplantae; Streptophyta; Magnoliopsida; Ranunculales; Ranunculaceae. The record is from RNAcentral.